UACGUAGGGGGCUAGCGUUGUCCGGAAUCAUUGGGCGUAAAGCGCGUGUAGGCGGUUCGGUAAGUCCGCUGUGAAAGUCGGGGGCUCAACCCUCGAAUGCCGGUGGAUACUGUCGGACUAGAGUACGGAAGAGGCGAGUGGAAUUCCUGGUGUAGCGGUGGAAUGCGCAGAUAUCAGGAGGAACACCGAUGGCGAAGGCAGAUCUCUGGGCCGUAACUGACGCUGAGGAGCGAAAGCGUGGGGAGCGAACAGG
Molecule: ribosomal RNA, 253 nt
Filed under: uncultured bacterium
Lineage: Bacteria
Description: partial 16S ribosomal RNA
Rfam family: Bacterial small subunit ribosomal RNA
Source: RNAcentral